CGUGCAGGUGGUUCGGUAAGUUGGGCGUGAAAUCUCCCGGCUCAACUGGGAGAGGUCGUUCAAUACUACCGAACUUGAGAGCAGAAGAGGAAGAUGGAAUUCCCGGUGUAGUGGUGAAAUGCGUAGAUAUCGGGAGGAACACCAGUGGCGAAGGCGAUCUUCUGGUCUGUUUCUGAUACUCGGACGCGACAGCUAGGGUAGUAAACG
This 207-nucleotide ribosomal RNA is filed under the name uncultured bacterium. RNAcentral's name for it is "partial 16S ribosomal RNA". It matches the Rfam family "Bacterial small subunit ribosomal RNA", at positions 568 to 774 of the family's 1533-position model. The record is from RNAcentral.